CAGUCGAACGGAUGGUUUCGGCCAUCAGUGGCGCACGGGUGAGUAACGCGUGGGAAUCUGCCCAGCAGUGGGGGAUAACCUCGGGAAACUGAGGCUAAUACCGCAUACGCCCCUCGGGGGAAAGGCUUGCUGCUGCUGGAGGAGCCCGCGUCGGAUUAGGUAGUUGGUGGGGUAACGGCCUACCAAGCCUGUGAUCCGUAGCUGGUCUGAGAGGAUGAUCAGCCACACUGGGACUGAGACACGGCCCAGACUCCUACGGGAGGCAGCAGUGGGGAAUAUUGGACAAUGGGCGCAAGCCUGAUCCAGCAAUGCCGCGUGAGUGAUGAAGGCCUUCGGGUUGUAAAGCUCUUUCGCCCACGACGAUGAUGACGGUAGUGGGAGAAGAAGCCCCGGCUAACUUCGUGCCAGCAGCCGCGGUAAUACGAAGGGGGCUAGCGUUGUUCGGAAUGACUGGGCGUAAAGGGCGCGUAGGCGGCGCAUCAAGUCGGGCGUGAAAGCCCCGGGCUCAACCUGGGAACUGCGUUCGAGACUGGUGUGCUGGAGUUCGGGAGAGGAGAGUGGAAUUCCCAGUGUAGAGGUGAAAUUCGUAGAUAUUGGGAAGAACACCGAUGGCGAAGGCAGCUCUCUGGACCGAUACUGACGCUGAGGCGCGAAAGCGUGGGGAGCAAACA
This 671-nucleotide ribosomal RNA is filed under the name bacterium SL3.30. RNAcentral describes it as "bacterial SSU rRNA". It matches the Rfam family "Bacterial small subunit ribosomal RNA", at positions 59 to 774 of the family's 1533-position model. The record is from RNAcentral.